Molecule: long non-coding RNA, 1220 nt
Organism: Mugil cephalus (flathead mullet)
Lineage: Eukaryota; Metazoa; Chordata; Actinopteri; Mugiliformes; Mugilidae
Exons: 2
Source: RefSeq, a predicted model, not a curated record
AUGUUUGUUGUGCAGAUAAGAAGUGUGUCAAUGAUCCACAGACAUGAGAGUUGGAUGUCAAAGGUUGUUCUCAUGCGGCAGCAGGACGUCGCUAAGUUCCUCAGCUUUUUAUGGAAGUGAAGCCAAAUUCAUUUUUAAAACGAACUUAUCUGAGAGCAGGUGUGUUUGGUUCAGCACCAGCAGGUGGUCGUGGGUUCUGUAAACCUGUAGAAACAGGAGGAGGCGCUGUGAGGCUUUGGCUGAGGUUCUUCUGUUGGUUUUAUUUUGCUGCCUAAGCCUUGUUGCUGAACUCUUACUCACCUUUCACUCAGAAUAUUCCCUGAUGGAUUCGUCUUUUUAUCACGAUAUUGUUGCUCGUCUCAAAGCUCCAGUGGUUAAGGAGAAGUGUGAGGAGUGAUUCCAUACUCAGGAAUAAAAAGCCUUAAAGCACCAGACUGGGCUCAAUUAGCCAAAGAAGAUGAAAUACAGAAGCCCUGCGAUAGCCCUGUUACUUAGACAUGUAGCCCCCACCAGGACCGGACCAGGACCGGACCAGACAAGGACCGGACCAGGACCAGGACCUGGACCAGGACCUGGACCAGACCAGGACCGGACCAGGACUAGACCAGGACCGGACCAGGACUAGACCAGGACCGGGACCGGGACCGGGACCGGGACCGUAACGGACCAGGACCAGGACCAGGACCGGACCAGGACUAGACCAGGACCAGACCAGGACCAGAUGGCAGCAGCAUCCCCAGACAUGAUCAGACAUGAUCAGGCAUCAUAAAGGUCCUGACUGGACGACUCCUGUUCAACUCUAUUUAUAUAGCACUUAAAAAAACAGCUCCAGCUGGAACAAAGUGGUUUAUCUGAGUAAAAUAAGAACACGAGACGUAAAACAAACAAUUAAAAUAAAACACAGUAAAAGCAUCAGACAAGGAAUAAAAAUGGGUUUUAAGGUUCCUAGAUAAAUCCUGUUAUUUCUGUGCUUUUAUUAUAAACCGUAUAAACUCAACCUGCACUAAGCUGCACUUUAUGAGCAUUGUUACAUUUUCUCUUUACAUAUGUUUUUACUUUUUCCAUUUUUAAGUGUCAUUUAAAUGUAUUUAUGCCUUGAAGUUGGCCUGUGAUGUUCUCACAAUGAGAAUAAAGACUAAUUCUCGUGACUGAUAGAAAUGUCCAGGUAUCGUUGGACUUUUUAUAUUUGAAUUGUUUGAAUAAAGUCCAAAAACAUGAAA